AACGCACCUUGCGCCUCUUGGUAUUCCGAGAGGCAUGCCUGUUUGAGUGUCAUUUAAUUCUCAACCUCAAAAGCUUUUUUGUUUCUGAGGCUUGGAUGUGGAGGCUUUUUUUGCUGGCUUGCUUUUUAGAGUCAGCUCCUCUCAAAUGCAUUAGUGGAAACCUGUUUGUAGUCCGCGUUGGUGUGAUAAUUAUCUGCGCCAUUGUAUUCGUGGCUACAGCUCUUGUGGUGUUCGUUUGGAAAGCUGCAUGAACUUGCUCUUUCUGUUCUGAUUGACCUGCGAGAGAGUAUAUGGUAUUCGCUUCAAACUGUCCUAAGUCGGUGGACAACCUUUGACUAUUUUGACCUCAAAUCAGGUAGGACUACCCGCUGAACUUAA
Molecule: unclassified non-coding RNA, 378 nt
Filed under: uncultured Marasmius
Lineage: Eukaryota; Fungi; Basidiomycota; Agaricomycetes; Agaricales; Tricholomataceae
Description: sequence contains ITS2
Rfam family: 5.8S ribosomal RNA (bases 1-52)
Source: RNAcentral